AGUUAACAAAGAAAGUUCUUUAUAAUUUGCGAUACCUGUUAUCUCUGACUGAGGCUUUAGUUUUUGUUGAGCUGAUUUACACGUAGAAACUUUGUUCAGGAAAAUUUCUCAGUAGCUCAGAGGACAGGCUGCUUUUUACACAACCUUGUAAGAGAAUGUUUGUCAAUGCUUUCAGCAGAAUUUAGAAACACAACACUUCCUAAACAGAUAUUUUGAGGCUGUGAGGUUGAACGUUUGAGAGUAUAUCAGUGUGUUUGUUUGUGGUCUUUCUGUUUCUAGGUGGAAGCUGAAUUAGUGAGGAUGACUCCUGCUCCUGUCAUCUCUAAGCUCCUCACACAUCUUUACCUGCACAUGAGGAAAAUCACUCCUGUAGAAUGCAGAUGUUCAGAGGGAGCUGAUGCCACAUCUGGUCCAGCUGAUGGAAGGUCUUGAAGUUCUCUGACUGGCCUCGACUGAAGAUGGUCGUCUCACUGGAUUUAAGGUUCAGAUGCUCAGUAACAAACUCCACCAAUGUGCCAACAGGGAAGCUUUAGGUUUAUUAAAUGUUGCUAUGAAGGUUUCGCUGUUUUUCUUUGUGAAUGCAAUGUGCUCCAACUGAAACUUGAAUUAGAACUUAGAAGUAAAUCUUUCCAUCUGAAAGGAUUUAGUUGCAUUAAUAACCUCAUAACAUUCUAAUUUUUAUUCCAGUCUUGGUUGAAAAUAGAAUCUCUGUAUUGAUUCAGGUAAAAACUGAACUUCACAGCAUGUUGGAGCAAAACAACCAGAUGAAAACUGUGAUGGUGUUGGAUUGUCAGACCGUAAUGUUGCAGCUCAAAGCAGCUUUUCUAGCUCAGUUCAUUCUGACAUUCAGCUAUGAAUCAACACAGCAGAUGGUGAUCCAUGCUGUGGAAGUCUCACAUCUCCUGAUUUAAUGGAGCUGCUUUGCACUUUUUACACUGUUUAUUCACCAACACUUUAUUUAAUAAAAGUCCCAUCUAGUGUUUAUGAGGAAUGUGAUGUUUUAAUUUCUCUGUGAAUAACUGCAGUCUAAUGCAACAGCUGGAGUUGUAACAUCUGUCCUGAUAUUGAUCAUGAAGUAUUGAUCAGAAUACUUAUGGUUAGCAGUCAUCCCUGAAGAUUUACAUUAAAAUCUUUACUUGUGUUGUGAACUUUGGUAAGAAGCAGAAACGUUAGCGUUGCCAUGGAUAUACGAGUGUUAAAUUCUGUCCAUGUUUCCAUUUUGGGAAACUCAGUCCAGCAGAUGAGUUUGUUUUUACUGCCAGCUACCAUUCAGUCUGAGAUAUUAAGAAUAAAUAAAUGUGCAUAAUGUGGAAAUGAACAGAUUUUAUUUUUAUUUAUUCCUAAAGCUGGUAAGGUUCCAGAAUGUGGAGGAAUUUAGUCUCACAGUCACAGAAAACAAAUAUUAUCUGAAAGUCGGGUUAUUGUUGUUUAUCAGCACAAUACAAAAAGAUUAAAUUUAGAAAUAUUCCAGUUAAGACUCUAGAAUAUCACGAUUUAUAUAAAUUUACUUCAAUAAUAUGAAUGUUCAGGUUAAGAUUGUACAGUGAUAUUUAUUAUGUAAGUUUAGCUGAUUAAAGUUUAUGACUCUGCACUAAAAUAUUAUUUAAAUUGACAUCAUUAUUAUAAUAUUUAGGGUCAGACCCUACAGUAUUGAGAUUAAGAAAUCAAAUAUUCUAUAAAAUGUAAAUACACUGAACUCAUUUGGAUACAUUUAAGUGAGACUCUACAAUAUUAUUUGACACAAAUGUAUCUAAAUCAAAAUUUUAAUAAUUUUCACGCCAAACAUUUACUGGACUGAUUUAAAUAUUAAAAUCACUCCUUUCUAAUCCUCUGCUGUACGUUCAAACCUGAGGCCUGAAAUAGAAACACACAAGUAUCUGUUUGAAGAAACUUCUGCAGAGUCCUGGUUCCAGAACAUGAUGAUAAAAUUAUAGACAAACUUUAACAAAAGCUGCCUGAGAGUUUACAGGUUUUUAUGUCAGAUUUCUUCAGUAAUUUAAUGAUAGUUAUCAGCAAUAAUCAAGUGUUCAUUUGAUGAACUUCAUUUCCUAAAACAUCCAGAAUUGAAGCUCAUAUCUUUGGCAGCUGUAAAGUUUCUGCUCCUUCAAAGUUCACAACACAAUGAAUGAAUUCCUAAAACACUCUAAAUGCUGGAGAGCGUUUGUGAUGCUGAAGCAGUGACCAGUUUUUCUGUUUCUUCUCUGGAGAUGCACAAUGAGGGACGUCUGCAGAGACUGAGAAAGAGUCUCACCACAUCCUGACAUGAGGAAAAAGACUUUAUUGAAGACUACAAUGAGAAAAACUAUCAGACAGCAGACGGCUGCAUUCAAGUCUGUAGCUGCUGAAUUCAUGGAUGAAUCAUCUGGCACUAGAGAGGAAGACCAUCAAACAUCCACGUCAGCUGAUGGAGGUCCAAGAGUCUCACCGAACAAACAACCUACAGAGUGAAGACCUCAAAUCUGAUUGGACGGCCUCCUAUUCAGCCACAUGUGUGAACAAAUGCCUCUAAGUUGAUUUGUUUUCUAAAAUAAAUCUAGUUUGAGUCCUAA
Long non-coding RNA from Amphiprion ocellaris (clown anemonefish), 2549 nucleotides. RefSeq lists it as uncharacterized. The transcript is spliced from 3 exons. The record is from RefSeq and is a predicted model, not a curated record. Lineage: Eukaryota; Metazoa; Chordata; Actinopteri; Pomacentridae.